AUGAAAUCAUGUACGUAUGAACGAACGUACGCGCGUACCGUAUUUGCUGGGGCUCCGGACCAUGUCGUAGACGCCGGCGUAGAAGUCAGCGUACAUGAUGCGCGCCGACUUGUACUUGGCCUGGAGGCUCGUGACCUUGGCCUGCAGCAGGCUGUUGUGGUACGUGGAGAGGUCGUUGAACUUCUUGAGGCAGCCGAGGGCGUCGUAGUCGGCGGCGCUGGAGGUGCCGUAGAUGGUGAGGUAGAUGGGGAAGCAGCCGAUGGGGAGCACCCCGGGCACCACCACGUCCACCGCCCCCAUCGCGACCAGCUUCUCCACGCCGGCGCCGAUGGUGUCCACGAUCUGCGGCGCGUACGUGCUCGCCUGGUCCGUGUUGUAGUUGCCGAACAGCAUCGCGUUGUAGUCGUUCCCCCCGAACUCCCCGAAGAUGAAGAGCGAGUUCGCCAGGUAGCUCUUGCAGCCUGCAACAAUAGUGAUAGUACACACGCGUAA
Molecule: ribosomal RNA, 492 nt
Filed under: Triticum aestivum (bread wheat)
Lineage: Eukaryota; Viridiplantae; Streptophyta; Magnoliopsida; Poales; Poaceae
Description: partial small subunit ribosomal RNA
Source: RNAcentral